AAGUCGUAACAAGGUUUCCGUAGGUGAACCUGCGGAAGGAUCAUUAACACGUAUCCAACGUUAAACCCCCCUGUGAACUGUAUAUCGUGCUCUUGGAUCCCCCAAGUAGAGACUUCUGCCUUCGACUGGGUGACUGCGGAAGCUAACGGUCCAAUCGAGCGCUGGGAUCAGUGGUUUGGUUUCCCCUCAAACCACUUCAAUGAAUGACAGCGUCAUUGAAGUGUGAUGGGGAGGUCGAAUAACGCACGCUAGAGGUCCCCCACGGGCCGGCGUCCAAAUCACCGAGCGCAAGCUCCCCUAAAACCACAUGUCAGCGUAGGCCCUUCUGUCGUGGUUGGGCGUAAAAACGAACAACUGUUAACAAUGGAUAUCUUGGUUCUC
RNAcentral lists this unclassified non-coding RNA (381 nucleotides) under fungal sp. Its description in RNAcentral is "partial internal transcribed spacer region". The stretch from base 1 to 46 matches the Rfam family "Eukaryotic small subunit ribosomal RNA", at positions 1786 to 1831 of the family's 1831-position model. Lineage: Eukaryota; Fungi. The record is from RNAcentral.